CGUGUACGAUGACACGUACUGACGCAACCUCUGACGAUUAUUUUUUUGGAAGUAUCCCACAGUAUUUUUGGAAGUUAUUUGAUGAUCAGCACUGCUGGCACUGUGGGUAAAUGGAAGGCAAUGGCACGUCCAUCUUUACCUUCUUCAUUGGACUCCACAUUACCUGGGAUAUCUCGAGAAGUGCUGUCUGUGUCCAUGGAACCAAAAUAUCAAUGUCAGCAGUGCAAAGAAAUUCUUAGGAAACCUUUCCAAGCACAGUGUGGACAUCGCUUCUGUGUGUUCUGUUUCAAACAACUCACCAGCUUGGGGCCCAUACCAUGCGAAGCCUGUCGUGCUGAGGGUAUAUUUGAAGAGGCAACAUCUAUGCUCAAUAUUGCAGUGGCAUUUCCUGAUAAUGCUGCACGAAGGGAAAUUGAUAGCUUGCCAGCCAAAUGCCCAAAUGAUGGAUGUAGUUGGUCUGGAACACUGAAAGAGUAUGAGGGUCAACAUGAAGGUCGUUGUGACUUUGAACGUGUCAAAUGUGAAGCAUGUCAAGCACUCAUCUUGGUCAGUGAGAAAGACCGCCACAAUGAGCGGGAAUGCGAGGCCAGAACCCUGAACUGCAAAUACUGCAAGGUCACAUUCAUCUUCAAAGAAAUUAAGGCACAUGAUGAAAUAUGUCAGAAAUUCCCCAUGCAAUGCAAAGACUGUGGUAAAAAGAAAAUCCCCAGAGAGAAGUUUCAAGAGCACAUCAAGUCUUGUGCAAAGUCUAAGUCAGCAUGCCAGUUCAGUGAAAUUGGCUGCAGGGCGGUGGUUGACAGUGGUAAGCAGCAGGAGCAUGAGCAGACCAGCAUGACGGAACAUUUGCGUCUCAUGCUAGCCGUGCUGUCCUCUGUGCGCCAGCGGGCAGAGGGGACAGGAGAGUGGCAGGAAGAUUCUGGACUGGGAUUGUAUCGUGGACCUGAAGAUGCAUCUCCAUUGGGGGCUCAUGCUGCUGGCCAUAAUGCAGGAAGAGGAGGCGGUCCUGGUGUACAGCAGAAAGUCACAGCAUUGGAGAACAUAGUGUGUGUGUUGAACAGGGAGGUGGAGCGAUCGGCCCUCACCCUGGAGGCACUAUCCCGUCAACAUCGGUUAGACCAGGAAAAGAUAGAAAGCUUGUCAAACAAGGUGCGACAGCUAGAACGGACUUUAACCAUGCGAGAUCUGCAGUUAGCAGAAUCUGAACAGUCCUUGCGGGAGCUGCAGUUUUGUACAUACGAUGGAGUUUUCAUUUGGAAAAUUGCAGACUUCUCUCGUCGCAGACAAGACGCAGUGGGGGGCCGGGCACCUGCCAUGUUCUCACCUGCGUUCUACUCCAGUAAAUAUGGGUAUAAGAUGUGUCUGAGACUUUACCUGAAUGGUGACGGCACAGGCCGGGGCACUCAUCUGUCUCUAUUUUUUGUGGUCAUGAGGGGCAAAUAUGAUGCCUUGCUGAAGUGGCCCUUUAGCCAGAAGGUAAAUGAUCAGCUAUUAUUUUACUUUCUCUUUUGGGCUUUUACUGACUCUUUCCUUUUCUUCUUUUAUUUAGUGAUGUGAUACAGACUAAAGCAUUACAGUACCACUUGUGUAGUUUGGAUGCAGAGUUAUAGACUUUUAUAGCAGGGACUGAAUGUUGUAGCUAUUCUAUUGUACUCUACACUUUAUAUAAAUAUAUUUUAUUGAAUAUUACAUGUACAACAUACUAUGGAGAAUUAAGGUGGUGGAGGUUGUUUUACACUAAGUAGACAUCGAAAACGCCUCUUUUACCGCCGCGGGUACCGCAGCGGCGGUGGUAUGAAGUGCAUUUGCAGCUUUUGACUGCUGAGUGGCGCUUUAACCACAAGUUAUCAAACAAGCGCAUCAAAGCAUAUUUUCGCAAAUAGACUCAGUUUUGCCUUGCUGAUGUCUUACAUUUGACUGCUUCAGUCACAGAAAAUGAAAGAAAAACACUGUGAUUUAAUAUAUUUAAUAUUCACAGAUGAAAGUUUUGUAUUUGUGAAGUUAUGUGCAUUUCAUAGAACGAGAAAGAGUCUGUGCUUAUAUUUUCUAAGCUACAUGGUAUUAAACCAUAUUUUAGAUUGGACACAUUUAAAAGGUGUGCAGUAUUAUUUAUAUUAUAUUAAUUAUGCGUUAUAUUAUUCAAAAGAAAUUGUGGUUUAGUUUGCAUCCGAGCAUUAAAAGUGGUAGCCUAUUUUAGGGGGGUAGGCUACAUGGAUUAAUAUGCAAAAUGUCAAUAUUUUAAUAUAUUAUGCCUACAUUUUAAUUUAUAUUUUAAAUAUAAAUAUAUUUUUUCCUUUAAUAAAACAACAUGCAUUUUUGUUAUUCGUUACCUGUUAUUUUGACAUAACCUAUUGUGAAAAAGACAUUUGUCUGUAAACUGAUUAAGAAAUUGUUGCAUGUUUAAAUGUGAAGCACAGUAUAAUUUCGUUCCCAUUAUUUAGGCCUAAUUUGCCUAAAACAAGAAACAAAUCAAAUUAAACCGGCACGAUUAAAUCUUUGAAACUCUAAAGAAUGAAUAAAACGUCCUCAUGAUUAAACUCAAGUUCUCUCAUUAUAAUCAACAACAUUCACACGAUGUAAAAAAAAAAAAAAAAGCUUUAGUAAUUGACAACUAAAGGAAUUUUAAAGGGAACCUUCUUUAAUUUCUUUUAAAGUAGGGUAAUAUCAUUUGGCCUAAAAAAAAUCCCAGUUUUAUUUUAGAAAAAAAAAUCUGAUUAAUCAAUAUUCAAAUGACAAAGAAAUUUUACAAAACAAGUUUUAAUAUAGUUCUUUAUCAUUCAUUUAGCAGUCAAAUUUAUUACUGCAACAAAAUGAUUAAAAAAAAAAUACCAGUACUGUUAUUACCUUAAUGCUGGAAAGAUGCUAUUUUUUUAAUACUAGCCCAUCAUGCAUUUAACCAUCCACUCAGCUUUAAGAGCUGUUCAGAUUAAAACUGGCAGCUCAGCAGUGAGUCAGUGUCAGACGAGGUCCUUUUAAAAGUACGCGGAUGGAUUUUUGCUAUGAACCCCUCUUUAGAACUCCUAGAGAAAAGGGUUGCAUAACAUAAAGAAGGAUACGUGAGACCUAAAUGAAGGGCUAGAACAUUUAUUUAAAUAAACAAAACUAAGAAAACACGUAUCAUAACGGAAUAAACACCAAAAUACUUCUACAAAAGUUACCAAUCUAUGAUAAACAGAAACGAACAACAAGACACUUCAAAAUAUGAAAACAACAAAAAACAACCAUAAAUUCCAAUUAAGAAAAACAAGAAAAGAAAAGCAAGCUGUUGGCAGGUGAGUCUCCAAUCUCCUCCCUCACACCAUCAUGCUCCGCUUCAGCGUCCUUAAUAGCGUAGUUCACCAACGAGUACAAUGAGUCGCAGGUGUACAACGACGGGCAGGUGCACGGGGCAGACCUAGCAAUCAAACUCAGAUGCAGAAAAAGAAAGAAAAAUCAGGACAUUGUAGAUAAGAAACUCACAAGGCACAAGCCGUAACACUCCCACACUUAAAAGGACGAGGUUCUGAGUGAAGCUACAGUAUUAGCAAAUAGGAGUCACACCAACCCAGACAUAAAAAUUUCAUUAUACGUUUACCUAGCCCCGGGAAAGGGCAUCUGCCACGGCAUUUUCACUUCCUUUCUUGUGAUGAAUCUCAAGAAAAUAACAUUGAGCCAUUAACGCCCAACGCAUCAAACGCUGGUUAUGGUUGUACAUUUUAUUUAAAAAAAAAAACAGCGGCUUGUGAUCCGUGUAGACUAUGACGGGAGUAGAGCUAUAUCCAACAUACAUGUCGAAGUGCUGCAAAGCAAGCAACAUAGCCAGAGUCGCCUGUUAAUAUUUUUUCUAGUUUAUAUUUCCAUCUCGUUAUGCCUCUGGUUUAGAUUUUUUUUUUUCUUAUAGAACUUAUUUGUAAAUAGAGCAGUCACUGUCUGUGUCUACACCUGACGCGAGAGUUGUCAUCUGUGCCCCACAGCAAAAAGUGUGUCUAAACUUGAUGACAUCACACUAUAGUGUCAAAUCAUCUGAAGGCAGUGUCAGAACAUUUCAUCAUAAACAGAAUGAACAUCAGUUCACUGAUGGGGAUUGUGUCCAGUGUAUCCAUCACUGGGUUCUGCUGUCUUUUGUUGGAUCGUUCCACUCGUGUCCGGUGUAGACCUGGCAUGCGUUUUUUUAUUGUUUUAUUUUACAGCCCUGCUUGUUUUAAUGUUUUUAUUAAAUAUCUGUAUUGACUGCGUGGUCAUAUUAUCGAAUUAUUUACUGCCAUGCGACCUACAAAGUAAACCUUGGCGAGUUGAUGAACGAACAUUGCUGCAGGUUGAAUUUUGGCGGAUGUGCUGUGCUUGUGCAGCCGCGGUCGUUUUAAUUUCGUCAGGUGAAACAUCUCUCUCACUCGCAGCAGAGUCUAUGAGCAGCAACAACUUCCCCUCCAUUCGCACUGAUACCAGAAACACGCCCCGCCUUCACUCUGUGAAUAAAGUAUUUCAGUAUGUUUGAAAUGUUAUGUUAAGUGGCUUAAGCUAUGUGUAAACGUUUUUCCCUAUAUCACAUGCCAAACUAAUAACAUUGUAAGAAUUACAUCUUUAAUUGCCGAAAAAUUUUGUUUGUGAUGAAAAUAACAUCUUUGUCAGUUAUUUUAUCUAAACAGGUCGAUUAACUUCUUCAAGAUUUCAAAAUCAGAUAGCAUGCUGAUAAUGUAGUAGCACUGUAAGAUUACAUUUGUUUGAACACAUUAUUGCGAAAGCGAUUGAGUGUGAAUCUGUUUAAAUCAUGCUUUAACCCGAAAAUAAUCAGUAAAAGAAACAGACAAACUCUUACAUUCCGCUCAACUCUUGCAGUCAACCAUCAAGCUAAAUAUGUUGGCUGUUGGCAUGAAUUUUACUCGUGAUAAGAAGCUCAUAUUCAAGUGUUUGUGCAAAAAUUAUUAAUGUGCAUUAAUGCAAGGGAGGCGCCAUCUCAUCACUUAAAUUUUUCAUGAUAAUGAAUGUAUAAUUUUUUAAUUAACAUAACAUCGUGGUGUCUCACAUAGGUACAUUAAUAAUAUAUCUACAGAAAGCUUGAAAUGUUUUUAAACGAAAAGGAAUAGUGUAAUGUGUGAAUGUUGCAUUUCUCUCAUCGGAGAGAGCCAGCACUGUGAAUAUAAGCAAAACAACAGUCCUAUAUAAACCAGUUCAGCAAAUGAAAGCCUCAUAAGACACUGUCCAUAUGAAAGAGCAAUUCACACCUUUAUCUCGACCCCCACAAGCCAUGAAAAACUAUCCAAAACCCAACCCCCUCCAGCUGAACAGAAUUCGGUCUGUGUUUUGGCUCUGAGGAACAGUGUGUUACUGGGCUGAAACAUGCCAUGAACAGAGGGGUUACCAGGAUGUCAUGUUUGGGGGGGCAUUUGGCUUUUUUGGGGGGGCAACAUAAACAACUGAAAAAAUUGAGCGCAAGAUUAAGCUAUACUACACACAAUCUGUUUUAGUGCAUAUCUUUUUCUAAGCCAGGAACCCAGAGAUAGGUACAGGGCGCCUAUUAGACUAUAGGGCUGUCACAUAAAAGUUGGUUAAACCCGGUCAACAUUAAUAAUAUGAUGAUGAUAUUAUUAUUAUUAUUCACAGAUUCAUAUAUAGAACAGAUCACGGUGAUUGCCUGAUGAUGAGUGACAGGUGUUUGCUUGUGAGAAGACUUGCUACACGAGUAGGCUUUUUUAAAAUGAAUCUGAAGUCAUGUUUGUAUAGACAAGAGGUAAAUUAAUUUGUUUCUUCUAAGCUGUUCCAGACGUAGGUGCUACCAUAAAUUCGCCAGUUAGCCUCUAAGUUUCUUUGUGAAUGCGGCCCCAGGUAAAAAAAAAAUGCAUAUGCUCAUUUGAACAGUAUGAGAACAGUAUUUGAAUGGUAUUCUCUGGUUGUAAGUGGCUUGGGAUAAAAGUGUUUGCUAAAUGAAUAAAUAUAAACAUGUAGGCCUAGAUAAAAGAAAACAUAUUAGGCUACAGGGGGUAAGAAGAGUUUAAAUAAAAGCUAUUUUUGUGAAACUAUAAGAAUUGAGUUUAUGAUGUCAUUAGCAGAGGCAACAUAACUAUUUUUAAACAUGGUUUUAUUUUUAUUUUAUUUGAUUAUUUAAUUUUAUUAUGAUUAGUGGUGCUUGCCAUAGGCAAAUGUAAUAAUUAUUUUACGGGGCUGUGGAGUCUG
Carassius gibelio (silver crucian carp) is the source of this 6147-nucleotide RNA transcript. It is a transcript of the gene named TNF receptor-associated factor 2, with no coding region annotated. The transcript is spliced from 11 exons. The record is from RefSeq and is a predicted model, not a curated record. NCBI's taxonomy places the organism in Eukaryota, Metazoa, Chordata, Actinopteri, Cypriniformes, Cyprinidae.